CAAGAACUAUAUGAUUCAAGAACAUUUGACGGCGAUUGCGAGAAUGGGUUAUGACGAUUCAGAAAUAUUAGGCGGACAUCGAUUCCCAGCCGAAUUGUUUCUCUUAUCUCUCUGCGAACACUCAUCAGUUAUCAAUGGCAGCCUCUAAGCUUGAUAGAAGAUCGUUAAGAAGUGGGUGAAGUAACUAAAGAGGCCCGAAAGUGACUGGAAAAUAUGUUAGUGUACAUUUUGCUGCUUUAAUCAUUACUCAUUUGAUAACAAGUUUGUUCCUUUAACACUGUGACACAAUCUUGUAAAAGUAUUUAUGGAGAGUCGGUUAUUUUACUGUUAAAGCUUGUGAUAUUUGCA
This is a long non-coding RNA of Helianthus annuus (common sunflower), 348 nucleotides long. RefSeq lists it as uncharacterized. Lineage: Eukaryota; Viridiplantae; Streptophyta; Magnoliopsida; Asterales; Asteraceae. The record is from RefSeq and is a predicted model, not a curated record. The transcript is spliced from 2 exons.